UACGAAGGGGGCUAGCGUUGCUCGGAAUUACUGGGCGUAAAGGGCGCGUAGGCGGACAGUUAAGUCGGGGGUGAAAGCCCGGGGCUCAACCUCGGAAUUGCCUUCGAUACUGGCUGUCUUGAGUGUGAGAGAGGUGUGUGGAACUCCGAGUGUAGAGGUGAAAUUCGUAGAUAUUCGGAAGAACACCAGUGGCGAAGGCGACACACUGGCUCACUACUGACGCUGAGGCGCGAAAGCGUGGGGAGCAAACAGG
This 253-nucleotide ribosomal RNA is filed under the name uncultured bacterium. RNAcentral describes it as "partial 16S ribosomal RNA". It matches the Rfam family "Bacterial small subunit ribosomal RNA", at positions 524 to 776 of the family's 1533-position model. The record is from RNAcentral.